Numida meleagris (helmeted guineafowl) is the source of this 1684-nucleotide long non-coding RNA. Lineage: Eukaryota; Metazoa; Chordata; Aves; Galliformes; Numididae. The record is from Ensembl.
AUGAGAUUUCCUUCUCUCGUUUGUGCUCCCGGGGUAAGAUGUGAUCCUGUUCUAAGCCAAUCUCAUAUUUGCAGAUUGAAGAGAAGCACAAGCAGGACAGCUUUUAAACCGGCCCAAGAAAAAUGUUCAAUUCAUUUGUGGAUUUCACUUUGCAGACAACCUAAGAACAAACUGCAAGUGUGCUCCUUCUUUGAAGACGGCCACAGGUGGAGAUGGCGACCUCAGAGCAUGACAGACUCAAGAUGUGUAAGGUGGCAGUAUCGUGGAGUCUCUGAGAUCAAUCGCAAAAUGACAUUACUUUGCUUAAUGGGUUGCUCAGAGUCAGCCUAACCUACAGCAAAAGCCAGAGAUCUGUUGUGAGCUGGCCAGCCUGACCUCUGUCAGAACAAGCUACCACAGCUCAGCAGGUGUGAGGUCCCUCCUCUAGCUGUUGCUGACCAUGUGCCUGAACCCCACAGACCCUUUUGUCACCUUCUGAACUCUGUUUACUUGUGAACAGCGUGAAAACCCUGGGGCAGUAGGGUUUAGAAAAAUCACACCCCUCUCUAACUUUCUGUGCUGGUGAUCUACAUGGGGGCAGAACUAAAAAUUCUUGCUUGGUUUUGGUGAUGAAUAUAUUUUAAUUAAUUAACAUUUAUUCCUAUCCUCAAAUAAUUCUACUCCCAGCUCUCACGCAUCUAGUAACUGGGAGUGCCCAUCCCAGAAAUUAUAGGGUUGCUUACCAGCUCCAGGGAAAUCAGUGUGAAAUCAACAAUUUGAAGCCCUGUGGACUGUGUUCCUGCAAUGGAUCGCUUCCUCUGUGCUGGCCAUUCAGAUGCAAGAUCGCACAAGCUAAUUUAGAUAAGAAGGAACUUUACAGCAGGGCUGUGCGAUAAGAGAAUCCAGAAACUAGUGCUGAGGGGAAGAGAACAGAGUCAGAAGAAGGAAAGGGUAGGAGGAGUUUCCUGUUGAACACACUCACCACACAGAUGCACACACGUAUGCAAUCAAAAUAGCAGCCAGAAACCCACAAAACAUAUGGUUUACCCCAAAGCUGAUACUCACUUCAACAAUUCCUUAAGUUACAGGAGAGAAGGAUGCACACAUUGUAUGGAAGGAUGGUAAACCAUCACCUUAUCCAAAGCCACAAAGCUGUUGCUGUUAAUGGAAAAAUAUCUAUCUAUACCAGUAGUCAUGGUGUUUUUAAGGGCUUGACCCAAUUUAUGGCAAUUGUUGGAUAGGAAAACUUCUGUUCCAUCCAUCAGUCUGGGUGGAUAAGGGCCCACAUCCUCAGCCGCUGCCCAAAAACUGUGUAGCUCAUGAUCGUCUGUACAGGUAUGCUUUCCCAACACAAAGCUUAGCUGCCUGCCAGCAAAGUUCCCUCAUUCUAUUUUUGGACUAGAGAUAGGAGAAAUAUUCCCAACAGUGUUGCUGUGGCUCUUGGAUCAAAAUGAGUGUUAUCAGGGGAAAGAGUAGGAGGAAUCAGGCAGGUUUUUUUCCCACCAUCUCUUCUUUCUCCUUAUCUUUCAGUCUCACUGCCUGAAAAGUGGUAGCUAGAAUUUGUUGUUUUUUUUUUUUUGUUUGUUUGUUUGUUUGUUUGUUUUUUAAAAAAAGAUGGGAUGGGAUGGGAUGGGAUGGGAUGGGAUGGGAUGGGAUGGGGGGAGGGAAGGACACAAAACCCAAUAAAAUAUUAGCCCCAAAAGCA